Molecule: long non-coding RNA, 1302 nt
Organism: Neogale vison (American mink)
Lineage: Eukaryota; Metazoa; Chordata; Mammalia; Carnivora; Mustelidae
Exons: 4
Source: RefSeq, a predicted model, not a curated record
GAGGUAUACAAAUGGGUGCUGGGUAACCAGAUACCAGGGUGAAAGGGUUGAAAACAGUGGUACCACAAAGCCUUCUGUAUCGCACGUGGUUUCGUCUGUCAUUACUUCGCUUCUGUCAGGCAAUAACAGGAAGAGCUUCCUUAGGGCUUUCCAAAACUCAUCUUCCUUUUAGUUGGCUAAAGGACUUUGAAUCAGAAAGUGUUUUUGGAUAGAGGGAGGAGCCUGUGAGCCUUUGAGGCAACCCCACAGAGCCAGGAGGUGGGAAUAAGUUCUUGGCUUUAACAUCAUCUACGCGGCCUUAGCUUGAAGAUGAGAAAACUGAGGUCAGAAAGAUAAGCUGAUGGGCCCAAGCUAGAAGCGCAAGUAUCCUGCCUGAUGUUCAGAUAGUGAAGGAAAACUACAGUGGUUGCCAAGAUACACUGCAAAGGAGAGAGAGUCCUUCCUGGAAUGGAAUUCUCAGCAAAUUGAAUAUUGUGAGAAUAACAGUGAAAAGGAGAAGACUUCAGGCUCCAGUUAUGGGUAUAAAACCAUUUUUUAGGCCCUUGAAAUGCUUCUAGGCCUGGACACUGUGCCUGUACUGCCCAGUACAAUGGAUAGAAAGGAUCUGCAACCUUGGGCCUCACUUCUCUGUAUUCCAUGAGGUGCUGUUGCUCCUGCUGUGGUUGGUAUUCUUCUUACUACUACCAUUGUUCCAUCUGAGAGAUGUGAAGGUGCCAGUGCUCCCUUGCCCUAGCUUCCUGUAGUUAUUUGGGUUUUGUCACUGUCUAAUCUUACAGGUGAUGGUGGCUUUCCCGUCUAUACCAUCUCAUACCUCUGAGUCUUAAAGAUUCCUUUUUUUUUUUUUAAUGAGUUGUUUUGAAAGGAUGAGUGUCCAACAAGAGCCCAGUACUUCUUGAAACACUGGUCGGUAUCUUUCUGAUAGACUUUCUGGCUGUCUUCUUGGCUCUUUAUUCUGUCUCUGUGUCUGGUAUAUAUUAUCAUUAUCAUUGUUGUUUUUAUUAUUUGGUAUCUUUGGCUCUUGGCUCUGAGGCCCAAAGUUCAGUCCUGUUCCAUUCCACACCCAGGCUCUCAGAACCUGUGCUUACAUCUCACUUACCAGGACCUAUUUAAUUGGGAUCGGAAAAGAGGCUAGGUUUAUGGAGCAGGAUAAACAAGGGUUUUGGAAGUAGGCAGACCUGGGUUCAAAUUCCAGUACCACUGCUUGCUAGUUUGAUUGAUUGAUUGAUUGAUAGUUUUAUUACUUAGAUCCAUUACAAGACCUCUCUGUGAGACUAUUUUAAUAUGUGUAAAAUGGAUAAAUUA